This is a long non-coding RNA of Oreochromis niloticus (Nile tilapia), 337 nucleotides long. RefSeq lists it as uncharacterized. NCBI's taxonomy places the organism in Eukaryota, Metazoa, Chordata, Actinopteri, Cichliformes, Cichlidae. The transcript is spliced from 2 exons. The record is from RefSeq and is a predicted model, not a curated record.
CUUUAGAAUGGUUUUUGUUCAAAUGAAUGUUGUCAUCGCAACAUUAAUAGAAUGAAACAUUUUGAAAAGUGCUUGCAGGAUUUACAUACACUUUGCUGUGGAUUACAGAGGAGAAAAAGAGAGGAGAGGAAAGAAAAGGAAAAAAAGAUUAUUCCCUAAGGAGCAACAGGAACUGAAGGAGGAGCAGGAGCGGCUGGAGAAGCGACCGGAGAAGCAGGACCUGCCGGACGAGCAUGAGCAGCAUUCUUCACCUGAUGGAAGAGACAGGAGCAGCAGCCAUCAUUAAUAAAUGCAACAUCAUAUCAAAAUAAUAAAAUCAAUCAGUGUCAUUCAUAAA